RNAcentral lists this ribosomal RNA (406 nucleotides) under uncultured bacterium. RNAcentral's name for it is "partial 16S ribosomal RNA". It matches the Rfam family "Bacterial small subunit ribosomal RNA", at positions 30 to 526 of the family's 1533-position model. The record is from RNAcentral.
AUUGAACGCUGGCGGCAGGCCUAACACAUGCAAGUCGAACGAGUGGCGGACGGGUGAGUAAUGUCUGGGAAACUGCCUGAUGGAGGGGGAUAACUACUGGAAACGGUAGCUAAUACCGCAUACCAUCGGAUGUGCCCAGAUGGGAUUAGAUAGUAGGUGGGGUAAAGGCUCACCUAGGCGACGAUCCCUAGCUGGUCUGAGAGGAUGACGCGCCACACUGGUACUGAGACACGGACCAGACUCCUACGGGAGGCAGCAGUGGGGAAUAUUGCACAAUGGGUGCAAGCAUGACGCAGCCAUGCCGCGUGUAUGAAGAAGGCCUUCGGGUUGUAAAGUACUUUCGGCGGUGAGGCGUUACCCGCAGAAGAAGCACCGGCUAACUCCGUGCCAGCAGCCGCGGUAAUUC